CUAGUAGGUAGAACCUUGGAGAAGGGGUCAAAAUAAUUCAAACGCAAACCUUUAUAAUUCCCUUCAUAUCAAUCAAUCUCCCCAAAAUCUUAAAUCUUUAAACCCUAGACUAGACUAGAUUUCAUUUAAAUUGAAUCUAAUGGGUAUUUUCAAGAGCACAUUCUCGUUUGUUUUUGGUACGGGUUUCGGAGUAUACUUGGCCCAAAAUUACAACGUGCCCAAUAUCCAAAAGCUCGUUGACACUGGCCUUGUAAUUGCCAAGCAUUUUGAAGAGAAUUAUCGCAAACCCAAAAAGAGAGAUAAUGAAGAUUAGUCUUACGGCGUCGUUUUACAUUCUACAGUUUGUGAGAGUCUGCCUGGUUUGAAGCGGUUCUUAAGGAGUUUUGAGGACUUGUCCUUUCCGCAUCUAUCAAUUUAGAUACCAAGGGUGCUCAGAAGGUAGUGUCUCGCUUGUUCUAUUUGAUGGAACAUCUUCAGAUGGUCUGGACUUCAAUGGGUGAUGCUGGCCACCGUGAGGCAAGCAUCUUCAACUGAAAAUUUAGAAGAAUGAGGAGAAAACAGAAGGUGUGGGAUAUUGCUCUGCUAGCAUGCUAGCAAUCACGUGGAUUGUAUGUAAAGAGAGAAAUCGGAGAGCUUUUGAAGGAAUAAAAAAUGAUUUUGUACAUUUGAGGAAUAACGACCUCGAGUCAACUAUUGCUUUCUGGUGCACCCAUGAGAUUCCAACAUGUAUGGAAGAUUGGGUGUCUAUUAUCGCGUUGUUGGUUUUGUACUUAUUGGUAUAUCACUUCUAUGCCUGGGUUCUUUUCCCAUCUUCAAUGAAAUUAUUUUACCUUAUAAAAAAUAAAAAUAAAAGUAAAAGGAAUAACAUUGCUAAAGGAGUUCUGUUCUUAUUUACUUAUAAUCUUCGUAUGUUGAUGCAAAUGAGUCCCUAUGUGACACAAGCAGGGUACAGCUAGAUUGUGGAGCAAUUUGUUUGGAUUUGUGUCUCUCUUCUUAUGUGCUAAUAGUGAUACUAAUAUUGUUUUAUUGGCUGCAUUAUUGUCGACUUCUUUGGAUUCUUGCUUGGUUUGGUGGAUUCUUCCUACGUGUGGUCUCAAGGAUUCAAGGUUGGGUAUUUAAGAUUUGACUCAAGGGUGCAAGUGGUCUUAACGAAUAAUUCUCUUGCUCUUGUCUCUGUGUUGGGAAAGAUGCAUGGCGUGCCCCCUUCGUCCUCUGAUUAUAGGAUACAUGGUUGGGUAUUUAAGAUUCGACUCAAGGGUGCGUGGUCCUAACAGAAUGAUUGUCUUGCUCGUCUCUGUGUUGGGAAAAAUGCAGAGCGUGAUCCUUCGUCCUCUGAUUAUAGGGAUUUGCUUCUCAGUCCACAGUUAGAUACAAGUCAGAUGAACUUUGGGAAGUUGGAGUACAAUUUGAGGGUGAAUUACUACUGCAGGAGAGGUAGUCUACCUCUUUGCUAUGUGUACGCCAUUGAUCAAUUUUUUCC
Lycium ferocissimum is the source of this 1480-nucleotide RNA transcript. RefSeq lists it as uncharacterized. The transcript has 5 exons. The record is from RefSeq and is a predicted model, not a curated record. NCBI's taxonomy places the organism in Eukaryota, Viridiplantae, Streptophyta, Magnoliopsida, Solanales, Solanaceae.